This 253-nucleotide ribosomal RNA is filed under the name uncultured bacterium. RNAcentral describes it as "partial 16S ribosomal RNA". It matches the Rfam family "Bacterial small subunit ribosomal RNA", at positions 524 to 776 of the family's 1533-position model. The record is from RNAcentral.
UACGGAGGGUGCAAGCGUUGUUCGGAUUUACUGGGCGUAAAGCGCGCGCAGGUGGGUGAACAAGUCGGAAGUGAAAUCCCAGGGCUCAACCCUGGGGCUGCUCCCGAAACUGUACGCCUAGGGACUGGUAGAGGCUGGUAGAAUUCCCGGUGUAGCGGUGGAAUGCGUAGAGAUCGGGAAGAAUACCCGUGGCGAAGGCGGCCAGCUGGGCCAGGUCCGACACUGAGGCGCGAAAGCGUGGGGAGCAAACAGG